AGACCCGAAACCCGGUGAUCUAGCCAUGGGCAGGUUGAAGGUUGGGUAACACUAACUGGAGGACCGAACCGACUAAUGUUGAAAAAUUAGCGGAUGACCUGUGGCUGGGGGUGAAAGGCCAAUCAAACCGGGAGAUAGCUGGUUCUCCCCGAAAGCUAUUUAGGUAGCGCCUCGUGAAUUCAUCUCCGGGGGUAGAGCACUGUUUCGGCUAGGGGGCCAUCCCGGCUUACCAACCCGAUGCAAACUGCGAAUACCGGAGAAUGUUAUCACGGGAGACACACGGCGGGUGCUAACGUCCGUCGUGAAGAGGGAAACAACCCAGACCGCCAGCUAAGGUCCCAAAGUCAUGGUUAAGUGGGAAACGAUGUGGGAAGGCCCAGACAGCCAGGAUGUUGGCUUAGAAGCAGCCAUCAUUUAAAGAAAGCGUAAUAGCUCACUGGUCGAGUCGGCCUGCGCGGAAGAUGUAACGGGGCUAAACCAUGCACCGAAGCUGCGGCAGCGACACUGUGUGUUGUUGGGUAGGGGAGCGUUCUGUAAGCCUGCGAAGGUGGCCUGUGAGGGUUGCUGGAGGUAUCAGAAGUGCGAAUGCUGACAUAAGUAACGAUAAAGCGGGUGAAAAGCCCGCUCGCCGGAAGACCAAGGGUUCCUGUCCAACGUUAAUCGGGGCAGGGUGAGUCGACCCCUAAGGCGAGGCCGAAAGGCGUAGUCGAUGGGAAACGGGUUAAUAUUCCCGUACUUGGUGUUACUGCGAAGGGGGGACGGAGAAGGCUAUGUUGGCCGGGCGACGGUUGUCCCGGUUUAAGCGUGUAGGCUGGUUUUCCAGGCAAAUCCGGAAAAUCAAGGCUGAGGCGUGA
Molecule: ribosomal RNA, 854 nt
Filed under: Salmonella enterica
Lineage: Bacteria; Pseudomonadati; Pseudomonadota; Gammaproteobacteria; Enterobacterales; Enterobacteriaceae
Also listed under: 1 other name
Description: bacterial LSU rRNA
Rfam family: Bacterial large subunit ribosomal RNA
Source: RNAcentral